GACGAACGCUGGCGGCGUGCUUAACACAUGCAAGUCGAACGGAAAGGCUCCAGCUUGCUGGAGUACUCGAGUGGCGAACGGGUGAGUAACACGUGGGUAAUCUGCCCUGCACUCUGGGAUAAGCCUGGGAAACUGGGUCUAAUACUGGAUAUGACCUUUCUCCUUAUGGGGUUUGGUGGAAAGUUUUUCGGUGUAGGAUGAGCCCGCGGCCUAUCAGCUUGUUGGUGGGGUGAUGGCCUACCAAGGCGACGACGGGUAGCCGGCCUGAGAGGGUGAUCGGCCACAUUGGGACUGAGAUACGGCCCAGACUCCUACGGGAGGCAGCAGUAGGGAAUAUUGCACAAUGGGCGGAAGCCUGAUGCAGCGACGCCGCGUGAGGGAUGACGGCCUUCGGGUUGUAAACCUCUUUCAGCAGGGACGAAGCGUAAGUGACGGUACCUGCAGAAGAAGCACCGGCUAACUAUGCG
This 467-nucleotide ribosomal RNA is filed under the name uncultured bacterium. RNAcentral's name for it is "partial 16S ribosomal RNA". It matches the Rfam family "Bacterial small subunit ribosomal RNA", at positions 28 to 507 of the family's 1533-position model. The record is from RNAcentral.